This 557-nucleotide ribosomal RNA is filed under the name Pichia kluyveri. RNAcentral's name for it is "partial large subunit ribosomal RNA". It matches the Rfam family "Eukaryotic large subunit ribosomal RNA", at positions 38 to 606 of the family's 3401-position model. The record is from RNAcentral. Lineage: Eukaryota; Fungi; Ascomycota; Pichiomycetes; Pichiales; Pichiaceae.
GCAUAUCAAUAAGCGGAGGAAAAGAAACCAACAGGGAUUGCCUCAGUAGCGGCGAGUGAAGCGGCAAGAGCUCAGAUUUGAAAUCUCACCUAGUGUGCGAGUUGUAAAUUGCAGGUUGGAGUCUCGGGUUAGACGUGUGUGCAAGUCCCUUGGAACAGGGUGCCACUGAGGGUGAGAGCCCCGUAGCGUGCAUGUCGACACCUGUGAGGCCCUUCUGACGAGUCGAGUUGUUUGGGAAUGCAGCUCUAAGUGGGUGGUAAAUUCCAUCUAAGGCUAAAUAUUGGCGAGAGACCGAUAGCGAACAAGUACUGUGAAGGAAAGAUGAAAAGCACUUUGAAAAGAGAGUGAAACAGCACGUGAAAUUGUUGAAAGGGAAGGGUAUUGGGCUCGACAUGGGAUUUACGCAUCGUUGCCUCUCGUGGGCGGCGCUCUGGGUUUUUCCUGGGCCAGCAUCGGUUUUCGUUGCAGGAUAAGGACAAUUGGAAUGUGGCUCCUCGGAGUGUUAUAGCCUUUUGUAGAUGCUGCGUAUGGGGACCGAGGGCUGCGGCGGACUCGUU